UCAAAUCCUGUCCUGAAGUCAAGCCUCUGAACAGCUCAACUCAUGCUUCAUACCCUCAUUCAAUCGCUGCUGUGGUCCCUCCCAACACAGUGUGAAUGAUUGAGAAUCAGAGCGAUCUCCAUGCUGUGAGACCCCACCCCAUGCUCCUCCCUCCUCUCAGGGGAUGGCCAAGGUCCAGGAUGGACACACAAACACAUGUGACAGCCCUGCGAUGUUAGAAGAGAGCCAGGAUGGUAUGGACAGUGGUAGCCUGACUCCUGGCCCAGCUUCAGCUCGACAGGUCUGCAUUCAGCGCCACCCCAGCCAAGGCUUCGGAUUCAUAGCAGGCAGCCAGAGACCAGUCAUCGUGCGCUCUGUCUCUGCAGACGGCCCGUCCAUCGGCAAGCUUCUCCCUGGAGACCAGAUCCUGGCCAUCAAUGAGGAGGUGGUGAGCGAGGCUUCCCGGGAGAGAGUCAUAGACCUUGUAAG
Molecule: long non-coding RNA, 468 nt
Organism: Oncorhynchus kisutch (coho salmon)
Lineage: Eukaryota; Metazoa; Chordata; Actinopteri; Salmoniformes; Salmonidae
Exons: 4
Source: RefSeq, a predicted model, not a curated record